This is a long non-coding RNA of Gasterosteus aculeatus aculeatus (three-spined stickleback), 338 nucleotides long. NCBI's taxonomy places the organism in Eukaryota, Metazoa, Chordata, Actinopteri, Perciformes, Gasterosteidae. The record is from Ensembl.
UCUCACUUGGCAACCAGACCACGCAGCGGACAUAAUUCUCACGGACGGAGGAACCCAGGGAUCAGGAGGAAGGUUUUCCCCUGCAGGGCUUGAAUCUGCUGAAGGUGUCCGGUCCAAGAAGCGGCAACUUGCUCCUCCCCCCCUGUGCGCCGGUCCGAUUGUCUGCCCCGCCCCUGACUGUCCCCACCUGUCCCCUUACCCUGUGUGUGCAUGUGGGCCGCGUCUCCCUUUGUCCUGCGCCAGUCUGUCCCGUGUCACAGAUUCUGUUGAUUCAUUCAUUCUAGAUCCUUUUGUUCUUAGAUUUAGCAAAGGGCCUUUUUCCUCUUCCCGAGAGUGAU